GAUGAACGCUGGCGGCGUGCCUAAUACAUGCAAGUCGAACGAGACAUCGUUUUAGAUUGAAGGUGCUUGCACCUGAUUGAAAAAACAUUUUGUCGAGUGGCGGACGGGUGAGUAACACGUAGGUAACCUACCCAAAAGAGGGGGAUAACAUCUGGAAACAGGUGCUAAUACCGCAUAACAACAUUUAUCGCAUGAUAGAUGUUUGAAAGAUGGUUUCGGCUAUCACUUUUGGAUGGACCUGCGGCGUAUUAGUUAGUUGGUGAGGUAACGGCUCACCAAGACGAUGAUACGUAGCCGAACUGAGAGGUUGAUCGGCCACACUGGGACUGAGACACGGCCCAGACUCCUACGGGAGGCAGCAGUAGGGAAUCUUCCACAAUGGACGAAAGUCUGAUGGAGCAACGCCGCGUGAGUGAAGAAGGUUUUCGGAUCGUAAAACUCUGUUGUUGGAGAAGAAUGUAUCUGAUAGUAACUGAUCAGGUAGUGACGGUAUCCAACCAGAAAGCCACGGCUAACUACGUGCCAGCCGCCGCAGUAAAAC
This 541-nucleotide ribosomal RNA is filed under the name uncultured bacterium. RNAcentral describes it as "bacterial SSU rRNA". It matches the Rfam family "Bacterial small subunit ribosomal RNA", at positions 28 to 526 of the family's 1533-position model. The record is from RNAcentral.